CGCGGUUACUCCACAAAAAUAACCGCAGACCGCCGAACGAAGGAGGAUAACCAACCGCAGGGCUUGCGGUGCGGCAGUGUGGAGACCUGUCGUAAUGCGCCGCGCGAAAUUCGGGCGGCGUGAGGUACGGGCAAGCGGAGGCUCCCGUAUCAUAGCCGGACACAUGGCA
RNAcentral lists this non-coding RNA (169 nucleotides) under uncultured Faecousia sp. RNAcentral describes it as "malK-I RNA". It matches the Rfam family "malK-I RNA". The record is from RNAcentral. Lineage: Bacteria; Bacillati; Bacillota; Clostridia; Eubacteriales; Oscillospiraceae.